AAUGACAUAAACCAUAAAAACAAAACAAAGCAAGAACAAAACCCCGUACCUUUNGCNNAAUGGUCUAGCAAGUCUUACGUCACAAAAAGAAUUUAAGCCAUACACCCCGAAACCUGACGAGCUACCCCAAGGCAGCACACUAGAGCAAACCCAUCCCUGUAGCAAAAGCGUGGGAAGACCUAGAGGUAGAGGCGAAAAACCUAACGAGCCAGGAUAUAGCUGGUUACUUGAGAACGAAUUUUAGUUCAACUAAGAGCAAAUAAUCCUAAAAAGAAUAAACUAAUGCUCUUAAUAUAAUUAACUGGGGUACAGCCCAAUUAAAAGAGAUACAACCCGCAAGAAUAAAUAAAGAUUUUAACUUUAAGAAGAAUAUAGUUUAGUGGGCCUAAAAGCAGCCACCAAAAAAGCGUCAAAGCUUAACUUAAUAUAACUCUAAUGAUUUAAACAAUAAAUCUUAAUUUAUUAAAAUAAUCAAGUCAAUCUAAUAUUAGAUAAGUUAUUACUAGAAUGAGUAACAAGGACCACCCCCUCUAAAUAUACGUGUAUAUCGAGACGAAAGCAUCGCCGACAAUUAACGAACCAUAUAUUAAUUUUUCAAGAAUCACCAAUUAACAAUACCGUUACCCCAACACAGGCAUAUUUUAGAAAGACCUUAAGCUAGGAAAGGAACUCGGCAAACCCAAGGCUUCGCCUGUUUACCAAAAACAUCGCCUCUUGGCCUAUUAACAUAAGAGGUACUGCCUGCCCAGUGACACCUGUUCAACGGCCGCGGUAUUAUGACCGUGCAAAGGUAGCGUAAUCACUUGUCUUUUAAAUAAAGACCAGUAUGAAUGGCGAAACGAGAGCCUAACUGUCUCCCCAAGCUAGUCAGUGAAAUUGAUAUCCCCGUGCAGAAGCGGGAAUACUCCUACAAGACGAGAAGACCCUACGGAGCUUCAAGCUGAAAUUAACUAUGCAAACUAACAAAGCAACCCUUAAUACACAGCUUUAGGUUGGGGCGACCACGGAGAAAAAUUAACCCUCCGAGAUGAAUUAGCUAAGAAAAACACAUCAAAGUAACAAAAAUCUUGACAUAUUGACCCAAUACUUGACCAACGAACCAAGUUACCCUAGGGAUAACAGCGCAAUCUUCUCAUAGAGUCCCUAUCGACGAGAAGGUUUACGACCUCGAUGUUGGAUCAGGGCCCCCAAAUGGUGCAGCAGCUAUUAAAGGUUCGUUUGUUCAACGAUUAAAGCCCUACGUGAUCUGAGUUCAGACCGGAGAAAUCCAGGUCAGU
RNAcentral lists this ribosomal RNA (1277 nucleotides) under Eurycea latitans. RNAcentral's name for it is "partial large subunit ribosomal RNA". It matches the Rfam family "Bacterial large subunit ribosomal RNA", at positions 537 to 2635 of the family's 2925-position model. The record is from RNAcentral. Lineage: Eukaryota; Metazoa; Chordata; Amphibia; Caudata; Plethodontidae.